AGAGUUUGAUCAUGGCUCAGGACGAACGCUGGCGGCGUGCUUAACACAUGCAAGUCGAGCGAUGAGAUCACUUCGGUGAAGGAUUAGCGGCGAACGGGUGAGGAACACGUGAAGAAUCUGCCUUCAACUCUGGGAUAACUCCGGGAAACCGGGGCUAAUACCGGAUAUGAGCCUUGAUCGCAUGAUCGGGGCUGGAAAGUUUUUCGGUUGAAGAUGACUUCGCGGCCUAUCAGCUUGUUGGUGAGGUAAUGGCUCACCAAGGCGACGACGGGUAGCCGGCCUGAGAGGGCGACCGGCCACACUGGGACUGAGACACGGCCCAGACUCCUACGGGAGGCAGCAGUGGGGAAUAUUGGGCAAUGGAGGAAACUCUGACCCAGCGACGCCGCGUGCGGGAUGAAGGCCUUCGGGUUGUAAACCGCUUUCAGCAGGGAAUAAGCGCAGGUGAAGGUACCUGCAGAAGAAGCACCGGCUAACUAUGUGCCAGCAGCCGCGGUAAUACAUAGGGUGCAAGCGUUGUCCGGAAUUAUUGGGCGUAAAAGAGCUCGUAGGUGGUUUGUUACGUCGGUUGUGAAAUUCAGGGGCUCAACCCCUGACUUGCAGCCGAUACGGGCAAGCUAGAGUUUGGUAGGGGGA
This 636-nucleotide ribosomal RNA is filed under the name uncultured bacterium GKS2-176. RNAcentral's name for it is "bacterial SSU rRNA". It matches the Rfam family "Bacterial small subunit ribosomal RNA", at positions 8 to 659 of the family's 1533-position model. The record is from RNAcentral. Lineage: Bacteria; Bacillati; Actinomycetota; Actinomycetes.